RNAcentral lists this ribosomal RNA (359 nucleotides) under uncultured Desulfovibrio sp. RNAcentral describes it as "bacterial SSU rRNA". It matches the Rfam family "Bacterial small subunit ribosomal RNA", at positions 1021 to 1382 of the family's 1533-position model. The record is from RNAcentral. Lineage: Bacteria; Pseudomonadati; Thermodesulfobacteriota; Desulfovibrionia; Desulfovibrionales; Desulfovibrionaceae.
UAAGAACCCGGUGACAGGUGCUGCAUGGCUGUCGUCAGCUCGUGUCGUGAGAUGUUGGGUUAAGUCCCGCAACGAGCGCAACCCUCGCCUUAGUUGCCAGCAUUCAGUUGGGCACUCUAGAGGGACUGCCGGUGUCAAACCGGAGGAAGGUGGGGAUGACGUCAAGUCCUCAUGGCCUUUAUGUCUAGGGCUACACACGUACUACAAUGGCCGGUACAAAGGGCAGCCACUCAGCGAUGAGGCGCUAAUCCCAUAAAGCCGGUCUCAGUCCGGAUCGCAGUCUGCAACUCGACUGCGUGAAGUUGGAAUCGCUAGUAAUCGUAGAUCAGCAUGCUGCCGUGAAUACGUUCCCGGGUCUU